UUCAGAUACACUGAGACAGAAGUCACCAGACUCUCUCACUAUAUAUAAGGGUCUGGUGACUUCUGUUUCAGUGUAUCUGAA
Non-coding RNA from Podarcis lilfordi (Lilford's wall lizard), 81 nucleotides. Lineage: Eukaryota; Metazoa; Chordata; Lepidosauria; Squamata; Lacertidae. The record is from the annotation of a GenBank genome assembly.